UACGGAGGGUGCAAGCGUUGCUCGGAAUUAUUGGGCGUAAAGGGUAGGUAGGUGGUCUCAUUUGUCUGGGGUGAAAGCCUUGAGCUUAACUCAAGAAGUGCCCCAGAAACGGUGAGACUAGAGUCUUGGAGAGGGUCGUGGAAUUCCCGGUGUAGCGGUGAAAUGCGUAGAGAUCCGGAGGAACACCAGAGGCGAAGGCGGCCUACUGGGCUGCACCUGACGCUGAGCCGCGAAAGCCAGGGGAGCGAACGGG
Molecule: ribosomal RNA, 253 nt
Filed under: uncultured bacterium
Lineage: Bacteria
Description: partial 16S ribosomal RNA
Rfam family: Bacterial small subunit ribosomal RNA
Source: RNAcentral